GACGAACGCUGGCGGCGUGCUUAACACAUGCCAGUCGAACGAAGAGCGGUGGAAGCUUGCUUCUAUCAAUCUUAGUGGCGAACGGGUGAGUAACGCGUAAUCAACCUGCCCUUCAGAGGGGGACAACAGUUGGAAACGACUGCUAAUACCGCAUACGAUCUAAUCUCGGCAUCGAGGAUAGAUGAAAGGUGGCCUCUACAUGUAAGCUAUCACUGAAGGAGGGGAUUGCGUCUGAUUAGCUAGUUGGAGGGGUAACGGCCCACCAAGGCGAUGAUCAGUAGCCGGUCUGAGAGGAUGAACGGCCACAUUGGGACUGAGACACGGCCCAGACUCCUACGGGAGGCAGCAGUGGGGAAUCUUCCGCAAUGGACGAAAGUCUGACGGAGCAACGCCGCGUGAGCGAUGACGGCCUUCGGGUUGGAAAGCUCUGUUAAUCGGGACGAAAGGCCUUCUUGCGAAUAGUGAGAAGGAUUGACGGUACCGGAAUAGAAAGCCACGGCUAACUACGUG
RNAcentral lists this ribosomal RNA (510 nucleotides) under uncultured bacterium. Its description in RNAcentral is "partial 16S ribosomal RNA". It matches the Rfam family "Bacterial small subunit ribosomal RNA", at positions 28 to 507 of the family's 1533-position model. The record is from RNAcentral.